UUGGAUUCUUGGGCUUGUGGUCAAAACUU
Molecule: non-coding RNA, 29 nt
Filed under: Rattus norvegicus (Norway rat)
Lineage: Eukaryota; Metazoa; Chordata; Mammalia; Rodentia; Muridae
Source: RNAcentral